This 308-nucleotide unclassified non-coding RNA is filed under the name Haliotis rubra (blacklip abalone). Its description in RNAcentral is "uncharacterized LOC124288439, transcript variant X1". The record is from RNAcentral. Lineage: Eukaryota; Metazoa; Mollusca; Gastropoda; Lepetellida; Haliotidae.
UCACUUACUGCCGAAGGCAGCAAAUGCGCCUUCGGCGCGUGCUCGCGCAAAGCGCGAGCUAUAAAGAAUACAUUUCUACUUCCGGGUCUGGGGACCCGUAAACUGCAGCAAGGGUUAAUAUGAGACACAAGAAUUCCGGCAGAUGCAAACAGAAGUGAUGGAUUUAUUGAGGAUUACAUCAAAUAAUCCAGGAGCUGUGAAUCAGUAAACAAAAAUGGAUAAAGUCGAAACCAAAGAAGAAGCUUCUGAAAUAAUCUCGAAAAGUGUACGCGUUUUCUGAAAGAAAUUAAUAAAGAGUGUUGACUACA